GACGAACGCUGGCGGCGUGCUUAACACAUGCAAGUCGAACGGUGAAGCGCCUUCCUUUUUGGUGGGUGUGGAUGAGUGGCGAACGGGUGAGUAACACGUGAGUAACCUGCCCCCUUCUUCUGGAUAACCGCAUGAAAGUGUGGCUAAUACGGGAUAUUCUGGGUCUGUCGCAUGAUGGGUCUGGGAAAGAUAUUGUUUCGGUGGGGGAUGGGCUCGCGGCCUAUCAGCUUGUUGGUGGGGUGAUGGCCUACCAAGGCGGUGACGGGUAGCCGGCCUGAGAGGGUGGACGGUCACACUGGGACUGAGACACGGCCCAGACUGCUACGGGAGGCAGCAGUGGGGAAUAUUGCACAAUGGGCGCAAGCCUGAUGCAGCGACGCCGCGUGAGGGAUGGAGGCCUGCGGGUUGUGAACCUCUUUCGCCAGUGAAGCAGGCCUGCCCCGUUUGUGGGUGGGUUGACGGUAGCUGGAGAAGAAGCGCCGGCUAACUACGUG
This 494-nucleotide ribosomal RNA is filed under the name uncultured bacterium. RNAcentral's name for it is "partial 16S ribosomal RNA". It matches the Rfam family "Bacterial small subunit ribosomal RNA", at positions 28 to 507 of the family's 1533-position model. The record is from RNAcentral.